UCCAUAAAUAAUAAAAGGUAUCUUUAGAUCCUUAACUUUAUUAAUUUAAUUCAAAAAAAAAGUUAAGAUUAAGGACAAAAUUAAUACUGAUUAAAUAAGUUAAUGGAUCAAACUAAUACUAAUUAAAUAAGUUAAAGGAUCAAAAUUUAACGUUUUUUUGGAUUAAAUUAACAGAAAGGAUCAAACCGAUACUUUAAAUAAAGUUAAGGGACUUAAACGGACCUUUUAUUACUUAUGGGA
Medicago truncatula (barrel medic) is the source of this 240-nucleotide microRNA precursor. It matches the Rfam family "MIR2655 microRNA precursor family". The record is from Rfam. NCBI's taxonomy places the organism in Eukaryota, Viridiplantae, Streptophyta, Magnoliopsida, Fabales, Fabaceae.